UGGAGCGUCCAGUGCGGACAAAACGUUAUAAAUCAAAGAGAUAGGAGCCGUCGCCUCUGCCGGGCGGCGGUAAUGAUUCAUCAUAUUAUUUGAAGAAAUCCCGUCCCCAGAGGCUUUAUAACGAGCUCUCCGCUAGAAUGGGGCGUUCGCCAGAGCCAAGCAGGUGUUUUUCGGAGCCUGGCCAGAGACUCGGCGGAACAGGGGAAUUCAUGGUGCGCAAAUAUUUCGGGACCGACGGUAUCCGCGGUCGUGCCAACAG
RNAcentral lists this unclassified non-coding RNA (259 nucleotides) under Hevea brasiliensis (rubber tree). Lineage: Eukaryota; Viridiplantae; Streptophyta; Magnoliopsida; Malpighiales; Euphorbiaceae. The record is from RNAcentral.